RNAcentral lists this non-coding RNA (190 nucleotides) under Sphingopyxis granuli. The record is from RNAcentral. RNAcentral also lists the same sequence under 1 other name. Lineage: Bacteria; Pseudomonadati; Pseudomonadota; Alphaproteobacteria; Sphingomonadales; Sphingopyxidaceae.
AACGAGCGGGCCGCGACAGGUUCCCCGAAAGGGGAUUGAAAGGGAAUGGGGUGCGAAACCCCUGCUGCCCCUGCAACUGUAAGCGGAGAGCCAUCGGGCCAUAUGCCAUUGGGACCAUCGGUCCUGAGAAGGCGGCCCGGACCGGCGUCGACCCGCGAGCCAGGAGACCUGCCCGUCGCCGUCGUCUUUC